This is a long non-coding RNA of Oreochromis aureus, 341 nucleotides long. Lineage: Eukaryota; Metazoa; Chordata; Actinopteri; Cichliformes; Cichlidae. The record is from Ensembl.
GUUUUUUCUCCCUCUGCUUGCUUCUUACUGUCUUUGAGGCUCAGGACCAGCACUCCUGUUGUUGGACAGAAAGACAUCAACUUGAGAUAUGACUGCACUAUGCUGUUGCUGUGACUCCAGUUAAAUCUACAAGACAUGCUGUGACACCAGGAGAGAUGAGUCCUCCGUCACAGAUGGUGUGGUCAGUGAAGAUGGUCGCCUGCAAGUUCAAGCUCAUUGCAUCUCCAACCAUCAACCACUGCCACUGUACUUAAGGGAAGUUAAAGACUUUCUUCUGCACCUACAUUUGGAUCACCUCGAUCCAUGACAGUCAUUCAGGCAGUAAUGCCUGGACUGGAAAC